CAAGGGGCUGUGUAAGGGCAGCUCAGUUGCCCUCUCGGUUUGGUAAUUAAAAGCUGGAGAGCACUCACCUGUGUCCACACUGGGUUUUACCAAGCAGUUCUGUAGCUGGGAGGGAUCUGGCAGAUUCCCAGGUUUACCUGCUGCCUGAGCAGCUCUGCUGGUGUCAGACUGUGCCUCCAGACAGGAUCCAGCAGCACUGGCAUUCCUGCACCUCCUCCCCAGCCACACUUCCAGGGCUGCCUCCCAAACCGAUGGCAAAGGAGAAGUCAAACUGAGGGAAUUUCAGAAAACAAUGGCAGAUGCUCAAACAAAAAUCCAUGGCCAGCUGGUUAAGAAGGAGAAAGGCACUUUUCAGAAUCCUAAACCUACAGCUGAGGAUGCUGGCCUAGGGAGAGGCAGGAUAUUUAUCUGACCAAGAUCCACUGGAAAAAUCCAAGCACUGCAGCAAAAUCAGCCAAGUCAAAACACCAAUCCCUUGAAAUCUCUUCUCCAGUAGUGUGGAUGUUCCAGGAAAAGCAUCUCAGCCCUCUGUGAGCUGUUUCAUUCCUUUAUUGCAAAGGCUACAUGUAUUUCCCCUACCCUACCUUGAAAUGUCUCGUUCCUGUCUUUGAUUUCAGCUGGUUCAACCUGACACCCUUUUUUCCCCCCACCAAAAGCAGUUUACUCACUGCUGAGCUAAAAAGCCUGCUGUGACACGAGCACCACUCUUUAUACUAAAAACCAGAGAUGUGGAGAAUGGCAUUAAGCAUGGCAAGAGCUUGAGAUGCUGGGAAUAAUAUUCAAAGAACAGCAACGUGAGAAGUUCGAAGCUGCCAAUGGAAACAAAGGGAGCAGCAAGAAAGGAGACUGUAGAAAAUGUCUUGUCAGUGACUCCUGGCCUGGAAUGGAAUCCCUAGGUUAGGAAAGGCAAGAGGCAGAAAACAUCUCCCUGGAUGUGAUGGCAGUGGCAGUGCCAGACUGGACCCAUGCUGACAACCAGCUUGCAACACAGAAGGCAACCUCUUAAUAAACACUAAACCCUUCUAACCUGAAAGAUUGCA
RNAcentral lists this long non-coding RNA (1040 nucleotides) under Cyanistes caeruleus (blue tit). RNAcentral describes it as "lncRNA (ENSCCEG00000005741.1)". Lineage: Eukaryota; Metazoa; Chordata; Aves; Passeriformes; Paridae. The record is from RNAcentral.